GGUGGAGCACAACGUCGAAAGCAGCCGUUGGGAGCCCAGGAGGCGGGGCGCCUGUGGGAGCCGUGGAGGGAACUUUCCCAGUCCCCGAGGCGGAUCCGGUGUUGCAUCCUUGGAGCGAGCUGAGAGCUCGAGAACCUGCUAAGGCCAUCAAACCUAUUGAUCGGAAGUCAGUCCAUCAGAUUUGCUCUGGGCCGGUGGUACCGAGUCUAAGCACUGCGGUGAAGGAGUUAGUAGAAAACAGUCUGGAUGCUGGUGCCACUAAUAUUGAUCUAAAGCUUAAGGACUAUGGAGUGGAUCUCAUUGAAGUUUCAGGCAAUGGAUGUGGGGUAGAAGAAGAAAACUUCGAAGGCUUAACUCUGAAACAUCACACAUCUAAGAUUCAAGAGUUUGCCGACCUACCUCAGGUUGAAACUUUUGGCUUUCGGGGGGAAGCUCUGAGCUCACUUUGUGCACUGAGAUGCCAGACCUUAGAUUUUAUGAUGACUCCUCAACCGUUUAGAUCUCGGUUAUCUCAGAGGGAUCAUCAGCUUUUUAAGAAAAUUUUGAGAGAAAAGCAAGUGAAGAAAAGAGUAGUCAGUGCCCAACAUCACGGAUCUCUCACUGAACACACCAUGCCUGGUAUUCUCUCACAGUGAUGUCACCAUUUCUACCUGCCAUGUAUCGGCGAAGGUUGGGACUCGACUGGUGUUUGAUCACUAUGGGAAAAUCAUCCAGAAAACCCCCUACCCCCACCCCAGAGGGAUGACAGUCAGUGUGAAGCAGUUAUUUUCUACGCUACCUGUGCACCAUAAAGAAUUUCAAAGGAAUAUUAAGAAGAAACGUGCCUGCUUCCCCUUCGCCUUCUGCCGUGAUUGUCAGUUUCCUGAGGCCUCCCCAGCCAUGCUUCCUGUACAGCCUGCAGAACUGUGAGUCAAUUAAACCUGUUUUCUUCAUAAA
This 936-nucleotide long non-coding RNA is filed under the name Homo sapiens (human). RNAcentral's name for it is "novel transcript". Lineage: Eukaryota; Metazoa; Chordata; Mammalia; Primates; Hominidae. The record is from RNAcentral.